This 467-nucleotide ribosomal RNA is filed under the name uncultured bacterium. Its description in RNAcentral is "partial 16S ribosomal RNA". It matches the Rfam family "Bacterial small subunit ribosomal RNA", at positions 28 to 506 of the family's 1533-position model. The record is from RNAcentral.
GACGAACGCUGGCGGCGUGCUUAACACAUGCAAGUCGAACGGAAAGGCCCUGCUUUUGUGGGGUGCUCGAGUGGCGAACGGGUGAGUAACACGUGAGUAACCUGCCCUUGACUUUGGGAUAACUUCAGGAAACUGGGGCUAAUACCGGAUAGGAGCUCCUGCUGCAUGGUGGGGGUUGGAAAGUUUCGGCGGUUGGGGAUGGACUCGCGGCUUAUCAGCUUGUUGGUGGGGUAGUGGCUUACCAAGGCUUUGACGGGUAGCCGGCCUGAGAGGGUGACCGACCACAUUGGGACUGAGAUACGGCCCAGACUCCUACGGGAGGCAGCAGUGGGGAAUAUUGCACAAUGGGCGGAAGCCUGAUGCAGCAACGCCGCGUGCGGGAUGACGGCCUUCGGGUGGUAAACCGCUUUCGCCUGUGACGAAGCGUGAGUGACGGUAAUGGGUAAAGAAGCACCGGCGAACUACGG